Molecule: signal recognition particle RNA, 305 nt
Filed under: Solanum tuberosum (potato)
Lineage: Eukaryota; Viridiplantae; Streptophyta; Magnoliopsida; Solanales; Solanaceae
Description: SRP RNA Plant_SRP
Rfam family: Plant signal recognition particle RNA
Source: Rfam by way of RNAcentral
GCCGAGCCUUGUAACGUGGGCUUGUGACCUGAGUGGGGGCAACAAUGUGGUGGAAUGUUGGGUUGUUCUUGAUGGCUGGACUUCGAAGGGCUAAUGUUCUGGCCUGCCCUAUCCAAGCACAGAGUUGGGUUAAGUGGUCUAUACGAAAGUAUAGGCUGCUUGGCCUUUAGAGUGGGGCGGACUGCGUGAGGCUGGUUUCACAGAGCAACGAAUAGUCUCCGCUCUGUGCAGUGGAAGGAUAACGGGCUAGUGCUCUCUGAGUUCAACAAAAACCUGAUGGGCUACUUAAUUAAACCACCAUUUUU